GAUGAACGCUGGCGGCGUGCCUAAUACAUGCAAGUCGAGCGAACGGACGCGAAGCUUGCUUCUCUGAUGUUAGCGGCGGAAGGGUGAGUAACACGUGGAUAACCUACCUAUAAGACUGGGAUAACUUCGUGAAACCGGAGCUAAUACCGGAUGAUAUUUUGAACCGCAUGGUUCAAAAGUGAAAGACGGUCUUGCUGUCACUUAUAGAUGGAUCCGCGCUGCAUUAGCUAGUUGGUAAGGUAACGGCGUACCAAGGCAACGAUGCAUAGCCGACCUGAGAGGGUGAUCGGCCACGCUGGAACUGGGACACGGUCCAGACUCCGACGGGAGGCAGCAGUAGGGAAUCUUCCGCAAUGGGCGAAAGCCUGACGGAGCAACGCCGCGUGAGUGAGGAAGGGCUUCGGAUCGUAAAACUCUGUUAUUAGGGAAGAACAUAUGUGUAAGUAACUGUGCACAUCUUGACGGUACCUAAUCAGAAAGCCACGGCUAACUACGUG
Molecule: ribosomal RNA, 497 nt
Filed under: uncultured bacterium
Lineage: Bacteria
Description: partial 16S ribosomal RNA
Rfam family: Bacterial small subunit ribosomal RNA
Source: RNAcentral